This 78-nucleotide microRNA precursor is filed under the name Heliconius melpomene (postman butterfly). Its description in RNAcentral is "microRNA hme-mir-6306 precursor". The record is from miRBase by way of RNAcentral. Lineage: Eukaryota; Metazoa; Arthropoda; Insecta; Lepidoptera; Nymphalidae.
CUUCAUCCAUAGGUUCCGCUUCAUCUAGCUUAGCAGCUGCAUCUUCUAAGCUAAAUGAACCUGAAGCUAUGGAUGAAG